This 283-nucleotide ribosomal RNA is filed under the name uncultured bacterium. RNAcentral's name for it is "partial 16S ribosomal RNA". It matches the Rfam family "Bacterial small subunit ribosomal RNA", at positions 30 to 319 of the family's 1533-position model. The record is from RNAcentral.
AUUGAACGCUGGCGGCAUGCUUUACACAUGCAAGUCGAACGGGCUGGGGGCAACUCCAGUCAGUGGCGAACGGGUGAGUAAUACAUCGGAACGUACCUCGUAGUGGGGAGUAACUCGGCGAAAGCCGUGCUAAUACCGCAUAUGCUCUACGGAGGAAAGCAGGGGACCGCAAGGCCUUGUGCUAUGGGAGCGGCCGAUGUCCGAUUAGCUAGUUGGUGAGGUAAUGGCUCACCAAGGCGACGAUCGGUAGCUGGUCUGAGAGGAUGAUCAGCCACACUGGGAC